Caenorhabditis elegans is the source of this 21-nucleotide non-coding RNA. NCBI's taxonomy places the organism in Eukaryota, Metazoa, Nematoda, Chromadorea, Rhabditida, Rhabditidae. The record is from Ensembl.
UGAUCAUUAUUUUGCGGUCCA